RNAcentral lists this ribosomal RNA (96 nucleotides) under uncultured bacterium. RNAcentral's name for it is "partial 16S ribosomal RNA". The record is from RNAcentral.
CACCGCCCGUCACGCAUGGGAGUUGGUUUCACCCGAAGAUGGUGCGCUAACCCGCAAGGGAGGCAGCCAGCCACGGUGGGAUCAGCGACUGGGGUG